RNAcentral lists this long non-coding RNA (230 nucleotides) under Helianthus annuus (common sunflower). RNAcentral describes it as "hypothetical non coding rna". The record is from RNAcentral. Lineage: Eukaryota; Viridiplantae; Streptophyta; Magnoliopsida; Asterales; Asteraceae.
GGUAAUUAAAUGGUUGGAUGCGGGAAUUAUUUAUCCGAUUUCGGAUAGUGCUUGGGUGAGUCCCACCCAAGUUGUGCCUAAGAAGGCCGGCAUUCAAGUAGUCAAAGAUGAAAGUGUCAAGGAUGAAAGUGGUGAACAAAUUGCCACCCGACCGGUUACCGGGUGGCGGGUGUGUAUUGACUACCGGAAAUUAAAUGCCGCCACUUCUAAGGACCAUUUCCCGCUACCUU